This 890-nucleotide ribosomal RNA is filed under the name uncultured bacterium. Its description in RNAcentral is "bacterial SSU rRNA". It matches the Rfam family "Bacterial small subunit ribosomal RNA", at positions 28 to 896 of the family's 1533-position model. The record is from RNAcentral.
AACGAACGCUGGCGGCGUGCUUAACACAUGCAAGUCGAACGGGAUUAGGGGCUUGCUCCUAAUCUAGUGGCGCACGGGUGAGUAACGCGUGGAUAAUCUGCCUGAUGAUCUGGGAUAACAUUUCGAAAGGGGUGCUAAUACCGGAUAAGCCCACGAGGACUUCGGUUUUUGCGGGAAAAGAGGGGGACCUUCGGGCCUCUUGUCAUCAGAUGAGUCCGCGUACCAUUAGCUAGUUGGUGGGGUAAAGGCCUACCAAGGCGACGAUGGUUAGCUGGUCUGAGAGGAUGAUCAGCCACACUGGAACUGAGACACGGUCCAGACUCCUACGGGAGGCAGCAGUGGGGAAUUUUGCGCAAUGGGGGAAACCCUGACGCAGCAACGCCGCGUGAGUGAUGAAGGCCUUCGGGUCGUAAAGCUCUGUCUAGAGGAAAGAAGUGUGGGGCGGCUAAUAACCGUUUCACUUGACGGUACCUCUGAAGGAAGCACCGGCUAACUCCGUGCCAGCAGCCGCGGUAAUACGGAGGGUGCGAGCGUUGUUCGGAAUUAUUGGGCGUAAAGCGCGUGUAGGCGGUUUCUUAAGUCUGAUGUGAAAGCCCCGGGCCUAACCUGGGAAGUGCAUUGGAUACUGGGAGACUUGAGUACGGGAGAGGGUAGUGGAAUUCCUAGUGUAGGAGUGAAAUCCGUAGAUAUUAGGAGGAACACCGGUGGCGAAGGCGGCUGCCUGGACCGAUACUGACGCUGAGACGCGAAAGCGUGGGUAGCAAACAGGAUUAGAUACCCUGGUAGUCCACGCCGUAAACGAUGAGUACUAGGUGUUGCGGGUAUUGACCCCUGCAGUGCCGCAGCUAACGCAUUAAGUACUCCGCCUGGGAAGUACGGUCGCAAGACUA